AAAAACGCACUGCCAAUUCGCCGAAAGUGUGGUGUUCCGGUGGUCACCAGGAAGUCUCCAGGUUUGCAGCACGUCGCGUCCCCGGUGGGGUGAUUUAUGGGAGUUUUCGUUUUUGGCUUUUUCUCAAGUGGGGUGACCCAUCUUCAAGUGAAAUCCUUGCAAAUUGCGAAAAAGAAAAAUCAAUCUAAAAUCUACUUUUAUCCUAGUUGUGAGAAAAAA
Long non-coding RNA from Culex quinquefasciatus (southern house mosquito), 219 nucleotides. RefSeq lists it as uncharacterized. The transcript is spliced from 2 exons. The record is from RefSeq and is a predicted model, not a curated record. NCBI's taxonomy places the organism in Eukaryota, Metazoa, Arthropoda, Insecta, Diptera, Culicidae.